AUUUCAUAUUAACCUGCUCAUAACCUUCAUACACACUUCACCAUAUCCAGAACAUCCCAUAUAUGUCUUAAUGCCAUACCUGGGUAUGAAUCAAAAUAUGGGUUCAUAUGCAUAAGAUUUCAUGAUGAUCUCAGGUCUAAGGAUCACUUGCAUAACUCCCAUUUAGAGAACCAUCUUUGACAUGCAAGUAAGACUUUCAUAAAAUAUUCUCUUUCAUCGAGUCAAUUCAGUGGACUCAUUUUCAAAUGAGCACCCAUAUCUUUAUAUUAGUGUCCCACAUAAGUGGCUAGUG
Molecule: long non-coding RNA, 292 nt
Filed under: Elaeis guineensis (African oil palm)
Lineage: Eukaryota; Viridiplantae; Streptophyta; Magnoliopsida; Arecales; Arecaceae
Description: long non-coding RNA (EGUI_LNC074930)
Source: RNAcentral